Molecule: long non-coding RNA, 515 nt
Filed under: Mus pahari (shrew mouse)
Lineage: Eukaryota; Metazoa; Chordata; Mammalia; Rodentia; Muridae
Description: lncRNA (MGP_PahariEiJ_G0003945.1)
Source: RNAcentral
GGGAGGGUGACAACCGCCAGCCGGCCCACCUCCUCAGUCCCCAUUGGCUACAAGGCGCCACUGCCGAGCUAUGGCUGGGGCUUCCCAGCCGAGCAGGAGAAUGACGGCCGCUCCCUCCCGCGCCGGAAAGGAGGCAGCACCCUGCACGUCCCCCACCUGAAUUCAGCCACCCUCACCACCGCCACCAGCCCAGGAUAAGGAUCAUAUUUCUAGUCUCCUCUGCAGCUACCCGGCCACGGGACCAAUCUCCAACCAGGCAGAUAAAGGGAUGGAAGUUGGAGUCUAGCCUGGUGACUUCCGGUAACAGCUUUUGUGUCACUUUCCCUAGAAUGAUCCUCCUGCCUCCUUCUUGUCAGCUCCAUGGAUUGUAAAAUCAUCUUGGGCGUGACAGCCAGACAGAAUAAAGCACCAAAUUAAGACAGUGUCCCUGUGCCAUGCAGAGUCAGCAAGGCACUCUGCACCAGCCCCAGCCCCGUACUUCCUAUCUCCAGGUUCCCAAAAUAAAGAGAAAAAUG